UUUUGUUAUACAAUUUUGAUAUAUAUAUUAUGUAAGAGUUUCAUGAAAUUUAUGCGUCAAAUUCACUUAAAAAACUAUAUACCAAAAGUCUUACCAUUUUACAUUUACUCUAUAUAUUCAAUAAAAAUAUAAUUUAAAAGGUAUAGAGACAAAAACAACACAGAGAAUUCACUUGCAAACAACAAGUGCUUAAACUUUAUUUUUAUUGAUAAUAAACUCUUUAACAAGUAUUAUCUCGGAACUUACUUGACAUAUUCUACCUGAAUGAACAACCCCGACUAAGGAGAAUUAAGUUUAAUGAACAACCCCUGAAUGAACAACCCCGACAUUUUCUACCUGAAUGAAUAAUUAAGCCUAAUUGUCCUCUAUUUCUUAUCAGCCGCCCGUGAAGACAAAAAGAACUAACACUAAGAACAAUUAAGAAUA
Molecule: small RNA, 426 nt
Filed under: Arabidopsis thaliana (thale cress)
Lineage: Eukaryota; Viridiplantae; Streptophyta; Magnoliopsida; Brassicales; Brassicaceae
Description: ATSL186190
Source: RNAcentral